This 389-nucleotide long non-coding RNA is filed under the name Heterocephalus glaber (naked mole-rat). RNAcentral's name for it is "lncRNA (ENSHGLG00100043067.1)". The record is from RNAcentral. Lineage: Eukaryota; Metazoa; Chordata; Mammalia; Rodentia; Bathyergidae.
GAAAAAAAGAUACACAGAAUUCACAUAGGAGUCAAAUUUGCUCUUUGCUUGGAAAAAUGGGUAGAAUGGAACUUAUCUGUGAAGCUGAAAUGAGCUUUCUACUUCUUUCUCAAAAUUUUGCAGCUGAGUGUAUGGGCCCAGUGGAGAACAGGGCUGCUAAGACCCCUGUGGCCUGAGAAAACAUCACAGUAAAGCAGAAGAAGCUCCCUCACAAGUUCUGGAAGGAGCUAGAGAGAGCUGGAGAAAAGGCAGCAGUGACAUCCUCAUCCUCCAGAGAGGGUGGACCAAUGGAAUUCACCAGAACUGAAGAGAAAGUACCCUUCAUUACACCCCUGUCCUGGAAGAUGGAGUGUGUGGUGUAAGACUGAUAAUAAAACUCUUUGUUUUAG